GGAAUACGAUAUGUAGCGGUGAAAUGCAUAGAUAUAUCGUAGAACACCGAUUGCGAAGGCAGCUUACUAAGCCAAUAUUGACGCUGAUGGACGAAAGCGUGGGGAGCGAACAGGAUUAGAUACCCUGGUAGUCCACGCCGUAAACGAUGAUUACUCGUUGUGCGCGAUACACAGUGCGCGACUGAGCGAAAGCAUUAAGUAAUCCACCUGGGGAGUACGUUGGCAACAAUGAAACUCAAAGGAAUUGACGGGGGCCCGCACAAGCGGAGGAACAUGUGGUUUAAUUCGAUGAUACGCGAGGAACCUUACCUGGGCUUAAAUGCAGUUUGACCGAUCUGGAAACGGAUCUUCUCUUCGGAGCAAAUUACAAGGUGCUGCAUGGUUGUCGUCAGCUCGUGCCGUGAGGUGUCGGGUUAAGUCCCAUAACGAGCGCAACCCCUAUCGUUAGUUGCUAGCAGGUAAUGCUGAGGACUCUAGCGAGACUGCCACCGUAAGGUGAGAGGAAGGUGGGGAUGACGUCAAAUCAGCACGGCCCUUACGUCCAGGGCUACACACGUGUUACAAUGGCCGAUACAAAGGGCAGCUACCUGGUGACAGGAUGCUAAUCUCAAAAGUCGGUCUCAGUUCGGAUCGGAGUCUGCAACUCGACUCCGUGAAGUUGGAUUCGCUAGUAAUCGUAUAUCAGCAAUGAUACGGUGAAUACGUUCCCGGGCCUUGUACACACCGCCC
This 729-nucleotide ribosomal RNA is filed under the name uncultured bacterium. RNAcentral's name for it is "bacterial SSU rRNA". It matches the Rfam family "Bacterial small subunit ribosomal RNA", at positions 663 to 1395 of the family's 1533-position model. The record is from RNAcentral.